ACGAACGCUAGCGGGAUGCCUCAAACAUGCAAGUCGUACGCGAAAGUUUCUUCGGAAAUGAGUAGAGUGGCGCACGGGUGCGUAACACGUAGCUAACAUACCUUUUCGCUGGGGAUAACUCCGGGAAACCGGAGCUAAUACCGAAUGAGCUGCCUUGGUCUGCGGACUAAGUCGGCAAAGCCGUAAGGCGCGAGAAGAUUGGGCUGCGCCCCAUUAGUUUGUUGGUGAGGUAAUGGCUCACCAAGACUACGAUGGGUAGCUGGUCUGAGAGGAUGAUCAGCCACACUGGAACUGGAACACGGUCCAGACUCCCACGGGAGGCAGCAGUUGGGAAUAUUGGACAAUGGGGGAAACCCUGAUCCAGCAAUCCCGCGUGAGGGACGAAGGCUUUCGGGUCGUAAACCUCUUUCAGUAGGGACGAAGGGAAACUUGACGGUACCUACAGAAGAAGCACCGGCUAACUACGU
This 467-nucleotide ribosomal RNA is filed under the name uncultured bacterium. RNAcentral describes it as "bacterial SSU rRNA". It matches the Rfam family "Bacterial small subunit ribosomal RNA", at positions 29 to 506 of the family's 1533-position model. The record is from RNAcentral.